This 269-nucleotide ribosomal RNA is filed under the name uncultured prokaryote. Its description in RNAcentral is "partial 16S ribosomal RNA". It matches the Rfam family "Bacterial small subunit ribosomal RNA", at positions 524 to 794 of the family's 1533-position model. The record is from RNAcentral.
UACGUAGGGGCGAGCGUUGUCCGGAAUUAUUGGGCGUAAAGGUACGCAGGCGGUUCUUUAAGUCUGAUGUGAAAUCUCACAGCUUAACUGUGAGCGGUCAUUGGAAACUGAGGAACUUGAGUAUAGAAGAGAAGAGUGGAAUUCCAAGUGUAGCGGUGAAAUGCGUAGAUAUUUGGAGGAACACCAGUGGCGAAGGCGACUCUUUGGUCUAUUACUGACGCUGAGGUACGAAAGCAUGGGUAGCAAACAGGAUUAGAUACCCGCGUAGU